GAAAUCAGUUUUUACUUAUUAUACACAUGCAAGUAUCCGCCCCCCUGUGAAAACGCCCUUAAACUCCUAUUAGGAAUAAGGAGCUGAUAUCAGGCUCAAUUCUUAGCCCAAAACAUCUAGCUAUGCCACACCCACAAGGGAAUUCAGCAGUGAUUAACAUUGGAUAUAAGCGACAGCUUGAUCCAGCUAAAGUAAAAAGAGCCGGCAAAUCUGGUGCCAGCCGCCGCGGUUACACCAUGUGGCUCAAAUUGACAUCUUUCGGCGUAAAGCGUGAUUUAAGAGACUAAAAAAUAUAGUUAAACUAGAAUUAAGCUGUGACACGCCUGUUUCUAAGAAAAACAACAACGAAAGUCA
RNAcentral lists this ribosomal RNA (354 nucleotides) under Sphaenorhynchus lacteus (Orinoco lime treefrog). Its description in RNAcentral is "partial 12S ribosomal RNA". The record is from RNAcentral. Lineage: Eukaryota; Metazoa; Chordata; Amphibia; Anura; Hylidae.